GGAGACCAGAAGGCCAAAAUCAAAAGUAUGGGCAGGCUUGAUUUCUUUAGAAGACUCCAGCGGAGAACUGUGUCUCCUUGCUUCUGAUUCUACAUCUCCAUCCAUGGGCCACUGUUUCAGCAACCUCAGCCAGUGCAACACAACCUCAGCCAAGAAGAGUAUGCAGAGAAAGGAGUCCCCUACCUGCCACAAAACUGUUGUCUGAAAACUGUCUCAUAUUGUCUCAAGUUGUCAUUCAUUGUGAAUUAGACCUGUUUAACAUGUAAUCUGCAACAUGCUUCACUGUCUAAUUUUCCAGAGCCCCUCAUAUAAGGAACUGUAUUAUUGGUAUAAUCAUCAUGGUGAAGAAGUUGGUAUGUGGGGGAGAGAUGACAGAAACAGAGAGUAAGUCAGAGCUGGCUGCCUGACAGAUAAAAAGGAAAUGACCAAAAAAAAAAAAAAAGACACAGAAGAAUACUUUGUUGUCCACACAGAAAAGGGAAGUGUAGGUAAGACAGCAGUAGACUAAGAUUCUUAAGACUCAAGUUCUAGUCUUAUUUAUUAGCUAUGGGAGGCCUUGAGG
This 562-nucleotide long non-coding RNA is filed under the name Homo sapiens (human). RNAcentral describes it as "non-protein coding CASC15:25". The record is from RNAcentral. Lineage: Eukaryota; Metazoa; Chordata; Mammalia; Primates; Hominidae.